UCCCUUGUAGCUCAGUUGGUAAAGAAUCUGCCUCCAAUGCAGGAGACUGGGGUUCGAUUCCUGGCUUGGGAA
RNAcentral lists this transfer RNA (72 nucleotides) under Bos taurus (domestic cattle). It matches the Rfam family "tRNA". From Rfam's summary of the family: Transfer RNA (tRNA) molecules are approximately 80 nucleotides in length. Their secondary structure includes four short double-helical elements and three loops (D, anti-codon, and T loops). Further hydrogen bonds mediate the characteristic L-shaped molecular structure. tRNAs have two regions of fundamental functional importance: the anti-codon, which is responsible for specific mRNA codon recognition, and the 3' end, to which the tRNAs corresponding amino acid is attached (by aminoacyl-tRNA synthetases). tRNAs cope with the degeneracy of the genetic code in two manners: having more than one tRNA (with a specific anti-codon) for a particular amino acid; and 'wobble' base-pairing, i.e. permitting non-standard base-pairing at the 3rd anti-codon position. The record is from Rfam by way of RNAcentral. Lineage: Eukaryota; Metazoa; Chordata; Mammalia; Artiodactyla; Bovidae. RNAcentral also lists the same sequence under 3 other names.